CCAUUUUCUAGCCACGUACAUUGGUUGUAAGGGACGCCUAGGUACCUACGUGCGGCACGCCGACCCGACGCGCCUUUGAAUAAUUUGAACAGGCCACGUGAGCACGUGAAAAAAUAUCUGAAUUGGUCGCCAUUUUGAAGUCGUUUUACAGCACAUUAGCAGAUAGAAAAUGAAGGAAAAAAGAGACGACACUGUACCCUAGUUGGACAUCAACUUGCUGAUAAAUGCACAGCCAGAGUGAGACAAGGCAGAGUUUCUGUCCGAGCUUGGAUUGGAUAUACCAGCCUGGAUGGGCUUCCUCGCUGCUGGAGAUGUAGACCUGGAUCAAGAUGUCUGGUGAGACAAGCAGAGUUUCUGUCCGAGCUUGGAUUGGAUAUACUAGCCUGGAUGGGCUUCCUCGCUGCUGGAGAUGUAGACCUGGAUCAAGAUGUCUGGUGAGACAAGCAGAGUUUCUGUCCGAGCUUGGAUUGGAUGCCAGCCUGGAUGGGCUUCCCCGCUGCUGGAGAUGUAGACCUGGAUCAAGAUGUCUGGUCGUCUUCAGUCAACUGAACAGCUGUUGGGCAUCCUGGGCAGACACCAUGGCAACUGCUACUGAUGACAGCUCUCUCCCUGAUGAUGUCUGGAUCUGAUGCCAACCUGUGGGACUUGCAGCAUCAAGAUAUGGAUGGAAUCCUUCAGCUCAGCUCUCUCCCUGAUGAUGCCUGGGUCUCAUGCCAACUUGUUGGAAUUGCAGCAUCAAGACAUGGAUGGAAUCCUUCAGCUCAGCUCUCUCCCUCAUGAUGUCUGGAUCUGAUGCCAACCUGUGGGACCCGUGGAAUCCUUCAGCUCAGCCGUUGGGCAUCCUGGGCAGACACCAUGGCAACUGCUACUGAUGACAGCUCUCUCCCUGAUGAUGUCUGGAUCUGAUGCCAACCUGUGGGACUUGCAGCAUCAAGACAUGGAUGGAAUCAUCUUAAGACUAAGGGCAAAUCCAUGGCAAUAGGACACAUAGAUGGUUAAUUACUACAUGAUUAAUUUGUGUACGUUUGAAACACUGAAGUCAAUGAUUCGUGAGUGUUCAAACGGACUGAUUCAAUGACAGAAGCCUUGCUCAAAGUAAAAACAGGACUGGUAUCAAAUAUCCUGUGAAAUUACAUGCUGUAAUUUGUUUACAUUUGCAAAGUGUCAAUAACUUAUUCUUAGUUUAAUUAACAGCCAUCCGUUCAAAAUCGUUUGUUGUAAUGAAUAAAUAAACAAUUCAGUUCCAGCGAUUUCAACUUAAAAUCUACUCAAUAGAAACAGACUUUAUUGACAGUCUUGCCAUGGAUUUGCUCUACUUUAAACCAGGCACAUAUAACCGAAGACCCCCCCCCCCCAAAAAAGCUUGCAAUUUAAACUUGCACAUUAAGUUGUUGGGAAUAUUUUAAGUAACAAAACCAUUUGUUGGUGCCUAAUUUAAAAAAAACAAGCUAUUGUAGUGCAUUUACUAUCCAAAAAUCACCCUCCCCCAAGAACAAGGAAGACUCUUUUGCGCAGCGUAUUGACCAAAACCUACAUGCAUUUACAGAUAUGUGCCUGGUUUCUAUAUAGUUUUUGAGUUGUUGAAAAUGUAUUUAUAAGUAUGUCUAUACCACAGAGCUAUUUUGCAUUACGAGAGCGUUUACUCGGUACAAAGUGAAGCCUGCUGGGCACAUCCAUCAAACCUUAGAAAACUGGAAAGUUUGUACUGCUUUUAAACGGCUAUUUGCAUUUGCAUUCUAUACAUCUGCAUUAUCCAAGACUACAUGCCAAAACCGAAAUGCACUAUCAGUAAAUGAUUAUUAAAUUUUGCUCUGCGCAAACGACGCAAAGGCGUGUGCACAUCAGCAGCUAAUGAUUCUUGCCUUGACGUUUUGUAACCGUCAUGACACGCCUAAGUUCUUUGCGUAUGUCGUACAUGUGCGUUGCAUUUAGAGUACACUUUCAAAUUCACUCCGUCACAUUUCUUUGUUCUACAAACUACAAAUGUCUGCGCGCAGGACGGCUAGAUAGAAUCUGCAUCAGAAUGAGGAGUUAGCGCUCAAGUACUUUAAUAUAGCUCUGUGGUCUACACUAGCACAUCAUAUGCACAAAAUUAUGGCCAUAUUAAAAAAGUGUUUUUCUGAAUAGUUUUUGAGAGGAUCUAUAUUCUGAAAAAAAAGUUCUGCCAAUCGUAACUAGGUGUGAUUAGGAAAGAAAACUUGUGUGUGGUUGCCAAACGGUCGGAGAACAGAAUUUAAAAUAUAGUAUUUAUUAUCGACUGCAUGCAAACAUAGUCAUUACAUUACAUUUGUAUUUGCUGACGUGAACAAAGUUUUUCGCGUGACAUUUUAUUUUACCUUAUAAGGAUGCCAUUACUUCGGCCCAUGAAAACUGCUUCAUUAAUGGUGCGUAUCUGCCUAAAACUACUACAAUUUUCACAUAUCGGCCAUAAUUUUAUUUAUAUGAUGUGCUAAUGUAGUCCUUUCUAUCUGACCUGAAUAAAAAGUUUUGUUGCUUUGUUAGUGCCUUUCUUUAUUUGUCUGUUGUCUACUCCAAGAUAUUGCAGCUCUAAGAAAUGAACAAAAAGUAAUCAAAUCUGUCCAGUUAUCCAGUAAUGCCCCUCUAACUUUCAUCUUAAAAAAAACAAACCCAAAACCCAACAACUUUGGCAAUAUAAUACUUUUAUGUCAUGCUGAUAUGCAAAAUGCUGCUUUGUUGGAGUAGGUAACAGACUUGGUAGUUCUUUUAGGAGAUGGUUCAAUCAUUAAUGGCCGUUUGAGGAAUGGAGCUAUGUUAAAUCACUAGAGAUAAUUCUGUACGCAAAGCAGUAUGUUUGCGCGUUUUGCAACUCUUGCAUUUCUGUUCAAAACAAAUGCGCAUAUGAAAAUAAGCAUUUUAUUUCACUGCGCAAACACAUCCACUUGCGAUUUUAGCACUUGUGAUAAAACCAUGCCUAAGCAGCAGCACUUUUUGCGAAAACCUGCCAAAACAUUAUUCUAUUUACAUGCGCAAAUGACUUGGUACUCUAGUUAUUUAAUAUAGCUCUAAUUUUCAAAAUAUUGAACUGAUAGAGGGCGCUUUUCCCAAGUUAAUGUCUUUAAAUUGUUAAUGUUUGAAUAUUGAGGGCGCUGUUUUGUAAAAUACCAGAAACUAAUAAAGUGCUAAAAACUAGUUGUUUCUUGAACUUGUA
This is a long non-coding RNA of Patiria miniata (bat star), 3169 nucleotides long. RefSeq lists it as uncharacterized. The transcript is spliced from 6 exons. The record is from RefSeq and is a predicted model, not a curated record. NCBI's taxonomy places the organism in Eukaryota, Metazoa, Echinodermata, Asteroidea, Valvatida, Asterinidae.